CAACAACAACAACAGCAGUGGCAGUAGUUCGCGCACCAAUUGUUGUUGUUGCAGCAGUUUUGGUUAAACCCUUUGUGCCUCAACUGGAAGAUAAAAACAGCCCACAAUUUAAGGCACUUGAGGAGCAAGUGGUAGUAGUGUAUGAAUUCAUCUAUAGACGUCAAUAUGGUUUACUUUUCAGCCGUGUAAUUGUCAUAGCAUUCAGACAAGCUGGGAGCAAAACACGAGCAUCUAAUACUGAAGCAGAAGUGCAGGUUGUUUUUAACAACACAAUAACACCUACAGAAAUCCCACAGGCUGCAGAUGUUCAAAA
Molecule: long non-coding RNA, 313 nt
Organism: Oreochromis aureus
Lineage: Eukaryota; Metazoa; Chordata; Actinopteri; Cichliformes; Cichlidae
Exons: 3
Source: RefSeq, a predicted model, not a curated record